GCCGAUAUAGAGGAGUCUGGAGUCCUCGCCACCCUGUCACGGUGGAGAUCACGGGUUCAAAUCCCGUUAUUGGCGC
RNAcentral lists this transfer RNA (76 nucleotides) under Gordonia phage GMA2. Its description in RNAcentral is "tRNA-Asp". It matches the Rfam family "tRNA". From Rfam's summary of the family: Transfer RNA (tRNA) molecules are approximately 80 nucleotides in length. Their secondary structure includes four short double-helical elements and three loops (D, anti-codon, and T loops). Lineage: Duplodnaviria; Heunggongvirae; Uroviricota; Caudoviricetes. The record is from RNAcentral.